This 439-nucleotide ribosomal RNA is filed under the name uncultured bacterium. RNAcentral's name for it is "bacterial SSU rRNA". It matches the Rfam family "Bacterial small subunit ribosomal RNA", at positions 29 to 452 of the family's 1533-position model. The record is from RNAcentral.
AACGAACGCUGGCGGCGUGCCUAAUACAUGCAAGUCGAGCGAGAAAGCCUCUUCGGAGGUGAGUAAAGCGGCGCACGGGUGAGUAACACGUGGGCAACCUACCCUUGAGUCUGGGAUAACCCGGGGAAACUCGGGCUAAUACCAGAUACGGCUGCGGGGUCUUCGGAUCCCGUGGAGAAAGAUGGCCUCUUCUUGAAAGCUAUCUCUCGAGGAUGGGCCCGCGUCCUAUUAGCUAGUUGGGAGGUAACGGCUCACCAAGGCAAAGAUGGGUAGCUGGUCUGAGAGGAUGGCCAGCCACACUGGAACUGAGACACGGUCCAGACUCCUACGGGAGGCAGCAGUAGGGAAUUUUGGGCAAUGGGCGAAAGCCUGACCCAGCAACGCCGCGUGUGGGAUGAAGGCCCUCGGGUCGUAAACCACUGUCAGGAGGAAAGAAAAG